GGGUGUGAUCAUACCAACACUAAUGCACUGGAUCCUAUCAGAACUCCACAGUUAAGCAUACUUGGGCGAGAGUAGUACUAGGAUGGUAACCUCUUGGGAAGUCCUCGUGUUGCAGCCC
RNAcentral lists this ribosomal RNA (118 nucleotides) under Gossypium arboreum. The record is from RNAcentral. Lineage: Eukaryota; Viridiplantae; Streptophyta; Magnoliopsida; Malvales; Malvaceae.